Molecule: ribosomal RNA, 778 nt
Filed under: uncultured Neocallimastigales
Lineage: Eukaryota; Fungi; Neocallimastigomycota; Neocallimastigomycetes; Neocallimastigales
Description: partial large subunit ribosomal RNA
Rfam family: Eukaryotic large subunit ribosomal RNA
Source: RNAcentral
CGCAUCUGUGCAUGCAGCAUAUCAAUAAGCGGAGGAAAAGAAAAUAACAAUGAUUUCCCUAGUAACGGCGAGUGAACAGGAAAGAGCUCAAAGUUGGAACCUGCUUGACUUAGUUAAGCCGGAUUGUAAACUGUAGAAACGUUUUCUAGGCAAGCCGAGUUAAAAAGUCCUUUGGAACAGGGAUAUCAUAGAGGGUGAGAAUCCCGUCUUUGACUCGAGUAUUUUGUCUUUUUAUGAUACGUUUUCCAAGAGUCAGGUUGUUUGGGAAUGCAGCCUAAAUUGGGUGGUAAAUCUCACCUAAAGCUAAAUAUUUGCGAGAGACCGAUAGCGAACAAGUACCGUGAGGGAAAGAUGAAAAGAACUUUGAAAAGAGAGUUAAACAGUACGUGAAAUUGUCAAAAGGGAAGCGUUUGACACCAGUGUUGUUUUUCUGAAAAUCAAUUAAAGAACUGUUUAUGCUAAGUUGUUUAGACUUUAUCAGCUAUCUGUUUAGUUUUGAGCUUUUCUUUAAUGCACUUUUCAGUUAACAAGUCAACAUCAAUUUCUUUUGCUGUAAAAAAGCUGAGGAAGGUGGCUUGAGAUUCGUCUUAAGUGUUUAUAGCCUCUUGCCUAUGCAGUCGGAGAGAUUGAGGUCUGCAGCGUAGAUCCUUCGGGGCUAAAUGCAUUUGUGCUAAGUUAUAGCAUUUUAUAGACAACUUGUUGACUAUGAUUUAGUCUUGUAGCUUACUCGCUUAUGUUAUUGUACCUACGCUUAGGAUGUUGACUGAUAUGUAGUCGU